RNAcentral lists this ribosomal RNA (325 nucleotides) under uncultured Euglypha. RNAcentral describes it as "SSU rRNA". The stretch from base 112 to 325 matches the Rfam family "Eukaryotic small subunit ribosomal RNA", at positions 741 to 955 of the family's 1831-position model. Lineage: Eukaryota; Cercozoa; Imbricatea; Euglyphida; Euglyphidae. The record is from RNAcentral.
GAUUUCUGACGAACCGGAGUGGCCCGUUUCCUUUCUGGGAAUGAGUGCCGCUUUGAGUUUGUCAUCCUUCCAGAGAGCUGCGUCUACCGUUCAUUCGGCCGGACGUAUGCGAUCUGGAUCUAUUACUUUGAAAAAAUUAGAGUGUUUAAAGCAGGCUUUUUGCUAUGAAUACAUUAGCAUGGAAUAAUAAUUUAGGACUUUGGCCCUAUUUUGUUGGUUUCUAGGACUGAAGUAAUGAUUGAUAGGGAUAGUUGGGGGUGCUCGAAUUCAGCGGCCAGAGGUGAAAUUCUUGGAUUCGCUGAAGACGAACUCAUGCGAAAGCAUU